UCUGUGUCUGGCUCCUCCCCCAAUUCUAACCAUGGAGGGUUCAGAAAGGGAAAGUCAGAGAGAAGACUAAACACAGGAUGGAAGACAGCCAUAUCCGUCUGCCUUCUUCAGGCUUUCCAUGGCAACCCGCCUAACCAAGGAAGUGGAAAAGGCCAUCUGAGAUCAAAAUCACAGUUCCCAUUACGAUAAGGAACCGGGAAGGACUCCUGGGUGAAUCGCCAUGCCUGAUUCGGUUGAUUUCAAAGCCAACUUUAGACGAUGCAAAACAUUGCCUUUAUGUCAAGUACCCAAGAAUAAAAGUUGUGGAAGAGACUCAGUUCAAGGAUGGCUCUCCCAGAUAAAGCUGAGAGCAGCCUUCCUGGGCGGAUGUGAGACACAGACAUGAGAGGCUAGCUACACGGCCUCCUGGCAUGAUUCCAUCAUGAGUCUAUCAGCACUGACAGGAGUUGGCUUUGCCUUCCUCCCAAGGCCUGAUUCUCUAAGAGUCUAUGAUGAAUUUAUAGAAACAGCUAUGACAGAAGUGACAGUGGGGUGAAAGUGUGGCUCAUUCUUUUAUUUAAACAGCAGUGGACCACAAUCUGUUGCCAACAGAGAGGAAGGAUUUGAAAACACUGUGAACUGCAAACUGCUUGCCCUGGGAUGUAGGACUGAGCACUUGACCCCCAUCAUGACAUUUUACAGCAGCACAAAAGCCACUCUAAGGUUGGCCUGUAUUUCCCAGUAUCCACUACAUCACCAGUGAAGUAGGUUAGUCAACUGAAUGGGCUCUGGAGCUAUCCUGAAUUCAGAUCCUUUCUCCAAAAUCUACUUGCUUUGAGUAAGUUAUGACAAGUGAUGAAUUAUAUUCUUCAGUUUGUACUGAGUCUUCCCAGUGGGAGACUCAUCUAUCUUCUUCAUGUCAGAAUGGCCAGAAAUUUGCUUUGGGCAGUGAAUUUCAGAGGAAGUAGUUAGCACACUUUUUAAUUUGUUUAUCAAAGUUCCAUUUGUUCUACUUAAAGUAGUUAUGUAUCUACCAAGUCAAAGCAAGUCCAGAAAUAAGGACAGCCUUUUCAAUAUGGGUUCCAGAAAAAAGAACCAAUACAAAUUCAA
This 1089-nucleotide small RNA is filed under the name Rattus norvegicus (Norway rat). RNAcentral's name for it is "uncharacterized LOC102553326". The record is from RNAcentral. Lineage: Eukaryota; Metazoa; Chordata; Mammalia; Rodentia; Muridae.